Molecule: ribosomal RNA, 294 nt
Filed under: uncultured bacterium
Lineage: Bacteria
Description: partial 16S ribosomal RNA
Rfam family: Bacterial small subunit ribosomal RNA
Source: RNAcentral
GGAUUAGAUACCCUGGUAGUCCACGCCCUAAACGAUGAGAACUAGCCGUUGGGUACAUUUAAGUGCUUAGUGGCGAAGCUAACGCGUUAAGUUCUCCGCCUGGGGAGUACGGCCGCAAGGUUGAAACUCAAAGGAAUUGACGGGGGCCCGCACAAGCGGUGGAGCAUGUGGUUUAAUUCGAUGCAACGCGAAGAACCUUACCUGGCCUUGACAUGUCCGGAACCUUGCAGAGAUGCGAGGGUGCCUUCGGGAAUCGGAACACAGGUGCUGCAUGGCUGUCGUCAGCUCGUGCUG